AAUGUAGUGCCUGAUAAAAGGGCUAUCUUGAUAGGAUAGAUUAUGUAAAGUUAUUUACCUGCAUUA
Molecule: transfer RNA, 66 nt
Filed under: Claassenia xucheni
Lineage: Eukaryota; Metazoa; Arthropoda; Insecta; Plecoptera; Perlidae
Description: tRNA-Ile
Source: RNAcentral